GACGAACGCUGGCGGCGUGCUUAACACAUGCAAGUCGAACGGAAAGGCCCUGCUUUUGUGGGGUGCUCGAGUGGCGAACGGGUGAGUAACACGUGAGUAACCUGCCCUUGACUUUGGGAUAACUUCAGGAAACUGGGGCUAAUACCGGAUAGGAGCUCCUGCUGCAUGGUGGGGGUUGGAAAGUUUCGGCGGUUGGGGAUGGACUCGCGGCUUAUCAGCUUGUUGGUGGGGUAGUGGCUUACCAAGGCUUUGACGGGUAGCCGGCCUGAGAGGGUGACCGGCCACAUUGGGACUGAGAUACGGCCCGGACUCCUACGGGGGGCAGCAGUGGGGAUUAUUGCACAAUGGGCGGAAGCCUGAUGCAGCAACGCCGCGUGCGGGAUGACGGCCUUCGGGUUGUAAACCGCUUUCGCCUGUGACGAAGCGUGAGUGACGGUAAUGGGUAAAGAAGCACCGGCUAACUACGUG
This 468-nucleotide ribosomal RNA is filed under the name uncultured bacterium. RNAcentral describes it as "partial 16S ribosomal RNA". It matches the Rfam family "Bacterial small subunit ribosomal RNA", at positions 28 to 507 of the family's 1533-position model. The record is from RNAcentral.